This 773-nucleotide ribosomal RNA is filed under the name uncultured Neocallimastigales. Its description in RNAcentral is "partial large subunit ribosomal RNA". It matches the Rfam family "Eukaryotic large subunit ribosomal RNA", at positions 19 to 616 of the family's 3401-position model. Lineage: Eukaryota; Fungi; Neocallimastigomycota; Neocallimastigomycetes; Neocallimastigales. The record is from RNAcentral.
CGAGCACGCGCGUGUGGCAUAUCAAUAAGCGGAGGAAAAGAAACUAACUAGGAUUCCCUCAGUAACGGCGAGUGAAGCGGGAAGAGCUCAAAUUUGAAAUCUUCAAGGUUUUACCUUGACGAAUUGUAGUUUAAAGAAGUGUUUUCUGUUGGUGUUUUGGUAAAAGUUCUUUGGAAUAGGACAUCAUAGAGGGUGAGAAUCCCGUAUUUGGUCAUUCCUUCUAGCUUUGUGAUACACUUUCAAAGAGUCGGAUUGUUUGGGAAUGCAGUCCAAAAUGGGUGGUAAAUUUCAUCUAAAGCUAAAUAUUGGCGAGAGACCGAUAGCGAACAAGUACCGCGAGGGAAAGAUGAAAAGAACUUUGAAAAGAGAGUUAAACAGUACGUGAAAUUGUCAAAAGGGAAGCGUUUGACACCAGUGUUGUUUUUCCGAAAAUCAAUUACGAAUGUUUUAUUUUUGAGGAGUUAUGACUUCAUCGGCUUGCUCCUUUCUUUAUGAAACUUUCUUAAUGCACUUUUCGGUUAACAAGUCAACAUCAAUUUCUUUUGUUGUAAAAGGGUAUGAGGAAGGUGGCUUUCUUUUCGGAGAAAGUGUUUAUAGCCUUGUGCCUCUGCAAUCGGAGAGAUUGAGGUCUGCAGCGUAGAUCCUUCGGGGUUAGAUACGUUUGUGCUAAGUUAUAGCUUUUCAUAGACAACUUGUUGACUAUGUUAGUCUUGUAGCUUACUCGCUGAUGCUAUUUUACCUACGCUUAGGAUGUUGAGCGCAUGUCUCUCUCU